RNAcentral lists this transfer RNA (85 nucleotides) under Stereum hirsutum FP-91666 SS1. It matches the Rfam family "tRNA". From Rfam's summary of the family: Transfer RNA (tRNA) molecules are approximately 80 nucleotides in length. Their secondary structure includes four short double-helical elements and three loops (D, anti-codon, and T loops). The record is from Rfam by way of RNAcentral. Lineage: Eukaryota; Fungi; Basidiomycota; Agaricomycetes; Russulales; Stereaceae.
GGCCCCGUGGCUCAGUGGUAGAGCGUGUGAUUCCAGUAGUUGAUGUGUAUCCACAAGGUCAUCCGUUCAAAUCGGGUCGGGGUCA